RNAcentral lists this ribosomal RNA (370 nucleotides) under uncultured bacterium. RNAcentral describes it as "bacterial SSU rRNA". It matches the Rfam family "Bacterial small subunit ribosomal RNA", at positions 28 to 399 of the family's 1533-position model. The record is from RNAcentral.
GACGAACGCUGGCGGCGUGCUUAACACAUGCAAGUCGAGCGGUAAGGCCCUUUCGGGGGUACACGAGCGGCGAACGGGUGAGUAACACGUGGGUGACCUGCCCUUAGCUCUGGGAUAAGCCUGGGAAACUGGGUCUAAUACCGGAUAUGACUCCAUGACGCAUGUUGUGGGGUGGAAAGCCUUGUGCGGCUAGGGAUGGGCCCGCGGCCUAUCAGCUUGUUGGUGGGGUGAUGGCCUACCAAGGCGACGACGGGUAGCCGGCCUGAGAGGGCGACCGGCCACACUGGGACUGAGACACGGCCCAGACUCCUACGGGAGGCAGCAGUGGGGAGUCUUGCGCAAUGGGCGAAAGCCUGACGCAGCGACGCCG